CCUACGGGAGGCAGCAGUGGGGGAUAUUGCUCAAUGGGGGGAACCCUGAUGCAGCGACGCCGCGUGGGUGAAGGAGUGCUUAGGCAUGUAAAGCCCUAUCGGCAGGGAAGAAGCAAGACGGUACCUGACUAAGAAGCCCCGGCUAACUACGUGCCAGCAGCCGCGGUAAUACGUAGGGGGCGAGCGUUCUCCGGAUUCACUGGGUGUAACGGGAGCGUAGACGGCCAUGCAAGCCAGGGGUGAAUGCCCGAGGCCAAACCCCGGGACUGCCUUUGAAACUGCAUGGCUGGAGUGCGGGAGGGGCAGGCGGAAUGCCUGGUGUAGGGGUGAAAUGCGUAGAGAUCAGGAGGAACACCGACUGCGAAGGCGGCCUGCUGGACCGCUACUGACGUUGAGGCUCGAAAGCGUGGGGAGCGAACAGGAUUAGAUACCCGAGUAGUC
RNAcentral lists this ribosomal RNA (441 nucleotides) under uncultured bacterium. RNAcentral describes it as "partial 16S ribosomal RNA". It matches the Rfam family "Bacterial small subunit ribosomal RNA", at positions 338 to 795 of the family's 1533-position model. The record is from RNAcentral.